GGCCAGACUCCUACGGGAGGCAGCAGUGAGGAAUAUUGGUCAAUGGGCGCGAGCCUGAACCAGCCAAGUCGCGUGAGGGAAGACGGUCCUAUGGAUUGUAAACCUCUUUUGUCGGGGAGCAAAAGACGCCACGUGUGGCGUUCCGAGAGUACCCGAAGAAAAAGCAUCGGCUAACUCCGUGCCAGCAGCCGCGGUAAUACGGAGGAUGCGAGCGUUAUCCGGUUUUAUUGGGUUUAAAGGGUGCGCAGGCGGAAGAUCAAGUCAGGGUAAAAAUGGAGGGGCCAACCCUCUUCGAGCCGUUGAAACUGGUUUUCUUGAGUGAGCGAGAAGUAUGCGGAAUGCGUGGUGUAGCGGUGAAAUGCUUAGAUAUCACGAAGAACCCCGAUUGCGAAGGCAGCCUGCCGCAGCGUUACUGACGCUGAAGCUCGAAAGCGCGGGUAUCGAACAGGAUUAGAUACCCGUGUA
This 465-nucleotide ribosomal RNA is filed under the name uncultured bacterium. RNAcentral describes it as "bacterial SSU rRNA". It matches the Rfam family "Bacterial small subunit ribosomal RNA", at positions 329 to 792 of the family's 1533-position model. The record is from RNAcentral.